GACGAACGCUGGCGGCGUGCCUAAUACAUGCAAGUCGAACGAACAGAUGGGAGCUUGCUCCCUGAUGUUAGUGGCGGACGGGUGAGUAACACGUGGGUAACCUGCCUGUAAGAUUGGGAUAACUUCGGGAAACCGAAGCUAAUACCGGAUAAUAUAAGAAACCGCAUGGUUUCUUAUUGAAAGAUGGUUUCGGCUAUCACUUACAGAUGGACCCGCGGCGCAUUAGCUAGUUGGUGAGGUAACGGCUCACCAAGGCAACGAUGCGUAGCCGACCUGAGAGGGUGAUCGGCCACACUGGGACUGAGACACGGCCCAGACUCCUACGGGAGGCAGCAGUAGGGAAUCUUCCGCAAUGGACGAAAGUCUGACGGAGCAACGCCGCGUGAGCGAAGAAGGCCUUCGGGUCGUAAAGCUCUGUUGUUAGGGAAGAACAAGUACCGGAGUAACUGCCGGUACCUUGACGGUACCUAACCAGAAAGCCACGGCUAACUACGUGCCAGCAGCCGCGGUAACAC
This 515-nucleotide ribosomal RNA is filed under the name uncultured bacterium. RNAcentral's name for it is "bacterial SSU rRNA". It matches the Rfam family "Bacterial small subunit ribosomal RNA", at positions 28 to 526 of the family's 1533-position model. The record is from RNAcentral.